CUAAUUUUAGCAACUCCAAAGAAAAAGAGUAUAUUAACUACUAUAUGACUAUUCAUGACAGUAUAUACCUUGCUUUAUUUCAUUUCUUCAGCACCUUUCCUUCUACCUCUCAGCUCCUAUAGCAACUACUUUGUUGGAUCAAAUUAA
Molecule: long non-coding RNA, 147 nt
Organism: Sapajus apella (tufted capuchin)
Lineage: Eukaryota; Metazoa; Chordata; Mammalia; Primates; Cebidae
Exons: 2
Source: RefSeq, a predicted model, not a curated record